UUGAAGAGUUUGAUCAUGGCUCAGAUUGAACGCUGGCGGCAGGCCUAACACAUGCAAGUCGAGCGGUAGCACAGGAGAGCUUGCUCUCUGGGUGACGAGCGGCGGACGGGUGAGUAAUGUCUGGGAAACUGCCUGAUGGAGGGGGAUAACUACUGGAAACGGUAGCUAAUACCGCAUAACGUCUACGGACCAAAGUGGGGGACCUUCGGGCCUCACGCCAUCAGAUGUGCCCAGAUGGGAUUAGCUAGUAGGUGGGGUAAUGGCUCACCUAGGCGACGAUCCCUAGCUGGUCUGAGAGGAUGACCAGCCACACUGGAACUGAGACACGGUCCAGACUCCUACGGGAGGCAGCAGUGGGGAAUAUUGCACAAUGGGCGCAAGCCUGAUGCAGCCAUGCCGCGUGUGUGAAGAAGGCCUUAGGGUUGUAAAGCACUUUCAGCGAGGAGGAAGGGUAGUGUGUUAAUAGCACAUUGCAUUGACGUUACUCGCAGAAGAAGCACCGGCUAACUCCGUGCCAGCAGCCGCGGUAAUACGGAGGGUGCAAGCGUUAAUCGGAAUUACUGGGCGUAAAGCGCACGCAGGCGGUUUGUUAAGUCAGAUGUGAAAUCCCCGCGCUUAACGUGGGAACUGCAUUUGAAACUGGCAAGCUAGAGUCUUGUAGAGGGGGUAGAAUUCCAGGUGUAGCGGUGAAAUGCGUAGAGAUCUGGAGGAAUACCGGUGGCGAAGGCGGCCCCCUGGACAAAGACUGACGCUCAGGUGCGAAAGCGUGGGGAGCAAACAGGAUUAGAUACCCUGGUAGUCCACGCUGUAAACGAUGUCGAUUUGGAGGUUGUGCCCUUGAGGCGUGGCUUCCGGAGCUAACGCGUUAAAUCGACCGCCUGGGGAGUACGGCCGCAAGGUUAAAACUCAAAUGAAUUGACGGGGGCCCGCACAAGCGGUGGAGCAUGUGGUUUAAUUCGAUGCAACGCGAAGAACCUUACCUACUCUUGACAUCCAGAGAAUUCGCUAGAGAUAGCUUAGUGCCUUCGGGAACUCUGAGACAGGUGCUGCAUGGCUGUCGUCAGCUCGUGUUGUGAAAUGUUGGGUUAAGUCCCGCAACGAGCGCAACCCUUAUCCUUUGUUGCCAGCGAUUCGGUCGGGAACUCAAAGGAGACUGCCGGUGAUAAACCGGAGGAAGGUGGGGAUGACGUCAAGUCAUCAUGGCCCUUACGAGUAGGGCUACACACGUGCUACAAUGGCGUAUACAAAGAGAAGCGAACUCGCGAGAGCAAGCGGACCUCAUAAAGUACGUCGUAGUCCGGAUUGGAGUCUGCAACUCGACUCCAUGAAGUCGGAAUCGCUAGUAAUCGUAGAUCAGAAUGCUACGGUGAAUACGUUCCCGGGCCUUGUACACACCGCCCGUCACACCAUGGGAGUGGGUUGCAAAAGAAGUAGGUAGCUUAACCUUCGGGAGGGCGCUUACCACUUUGUGAUUCAUGACUGGGGUGAAGUCGUAACAAGGUAACCGUAGGGGAACCUGCGGUUGGAUCACCUCCUU
RNAcentral lists this ribosomal RNA (1537 nucleotides) under Serratia inhibens PRI-2C. RNAcentral's name for it is "bacterial SSU rRNA". It matches the Rfam family "Bacterial small subunit ribosomal RNA". The record is from RNAcentral. RNAcentral also lists the same sequence under 1 other name. Lineage: Bacteria; Pseudomonadati; Pseudomonadota; Gammaproteobacteria; Enterobacterales; Yersiniaceae.